This 478-nucleotide ribosomal RNA is filed under the name uncultured bacterium. RNAcentral describes it as "partial 16S ribosomal RNA". It matches the Rfam family "Bacterial small subunit ribosomal RNA", at positions 28 to 523 of the family's 1533-position model. The record is from RNAcentral.
GACGAACGCUGGCGGCGUGCUUAACACAUGCAAGUCGAACGGUAAGGCCCUUCGGGGUACACGAGUAGCGAACGGGUGAGUAACACGUGGGUGAUCUGCCCUGCACUUCGGGAUAAGCCUGGGAAACUGGGUCUAAUACCGGAUAGGACCACUGCCUGCAUGGGUGGUGGGGGAAAGCUUUUGCGGUGUGGGAUGGGCCCGCGGCCUAUCAGCUUGUUGGGGGGGUGAUGGCCUACCAAGGCGACGACGGGUAGGCGGCCUGAGAGGGUGACCGGCCACACUGGGACUGAGAUACGGCCCAGACUCCUACGGGAGGCAGCAGUGGGGAAUAUUGCACAAUGGGCGCAAGCCUGAUGCAGCGACGCCGCGUGAGGGAUGACGGCCUUCGGGUUGUAAACCUCUUUCAGCACCGACGAAGCGCAAGUGACGGUAGGUGCAGAAGAAGGACCGGCCAACUACGUGCCAGCAGCCGCGGUAA